RNAcentral lists this ribosomal RNA (378 nucleotides) under uncultured eukaryote. RNAcentral's name for it is "partial 18S ribosomal RNA". It matches the Rfam family "Eukaryotic small subunit ribosomal RNA", at positions 592 to 976 of the family's 1831-position model. The record is from RNAcentral.
CAAUAGCGUAUAUUUAAGUUGUUGCAGUUAAAAAGCUCGUAGUUGGAUUUCGGGUGGGACGCAGCGGUCUCGCAUUGCGUUUGUACUGCUGCAGCCCUCCUUCUUGCCGGGGACGGCCUCUCGGACUUCACUGUCUGGGGGUCAGAAUCGGCGAUGUUACUUUGAGUAAAUUAGAGUGUUCAAAGCAAGCUUACGCUCUGAAUAUAAUAGCAUGGGAUAACACGACAGGACUCUGGCCUAUCGUGUUGGUCUAUAGGACCAGAGUAAUGAUUAAGAGGGACAGUCGGGGGCAUUCGUAUUCCGUUGUCAGAGGUGAAAUUCUUGGAUUUACGGAAGACGAACAUCUGCGAAAGCAUUUGCCAAGGAUGUUUUCAUUGA